CUUGGUUUAUCUUGCUAGCAGUCAUCUGCUUGUCUCAAAGAUUAAGCCAUGCAUAAGUAUGAACUAAUUCAGACUAUGAAAUUACGAAUGGCUUAUUAAAUUAGUUAUAGUUUGUUUGAUGGUAUCUACUACUUGGAUAACCAUAGCAAUUUUAGAGUUAAUAUGUGCAACAAACAUUGGCUUCUAGAAGAGAUACAUUUAUUAGAUAAAAGGUUGAUGUGAGUUUUGCCCAUUGCUCUGAUGAUUCAUGAUAACUCAAUAGAUCACAUGGCCUUUAUGCCGAUAAUGCAUCAUUCAAAUUUUUGCCCUAUCAAUUGUAGAUGAUAGGAUAAUGGCUUACUAUGGUGGUAAUGGAGAAUUAGGGUUUGAUUUUUGAGAAAGAGCUUGAAAAAUAGCUACCACAUCAAAGGAAGGUAGUAGGCACACAAGUUAUCCAAUCUUGACAUGGGAAGGUUAUGACAAUAAACAAUAAUACCAGUUAUAAGUCUAGUAGUUGGAAUGAGUCAAAUCUAAAUCACUUAACAAGGAUCCAUUGGAUGGCAAGUCUGAUGCCUAUAGUCAUAGUAAUUCCAACUCCAAUGGCAUAUAUUUAAGUUGUUGUAGUUAAAAAGCUCAUAGUUGGAACUAGGGCUAAGUCAUCCGAUUUGCCUCACGAUAAGCAUUGGUUUACUCAUCCCUACUAUUGGUGAUGCACUCCUGCCUUAAAUGGCUAGGUCAUUUCUCUGACACUGUUACUUUAAAGAAAUUAUAGUGCUCAAAGUAGGCCUACACUUGUAUAUGUUAGCAUGGGAUAACAUCAUAAGAUUUUAGUCUUAUUGUGUUGGCCUUUGGGAUCAAAGUAAUGAUUAAUGGGGACAAUCGAGGGCAUUCAUAUUUUAUAGUUAGAGGUGAAAUUUUUGGAUUUAUGAAAGAUAAACAACUGUGAAAGCAUUUUCCAAAGAUGUUUUCAUUAAUCAAGGAUGAAAGUUGGGGGCUCAAAGAUGAUCAAAUACUAUCCUAGUUUUAACUAAAAAUGAUGCCAAAGAUUACUUUUAGCACUCACUAGCACCUUAUGAGAAAUCAAAGUCUUUGGGUUUCAGGGGGAGUAUAGUCAUAAGGUUGAAACUUAAAGGAAUUGAUGGAAGGGCACCACUAAAGAGUGGAGCCUGCAACUUAAUUUGACUCAACAAGGGAAAACUUACUAUGUCCAAACAAUAUAAGCAUUGACAAACUAAGAGCUCUUUCUUAAUUCUAUAGGUGGUGGUGCAUGGCCAUUCUUAGAUGGCGGAGCAAUUUAUCUAGUUAAUUCUGUUAAUGAAUGAGACCAUAGCCUACUAAUUAGCUAUGCAGAGCUGAUCCUUCAUGGCUAGCUUCUUAGAGGGACUAUGGCUACUUAAGCCAAGGAAAUUUGAGGCAAUAACAGUUUUUUGAAUCCUUUAGAUGUUUUGGCUGCAUGCACACUACACUGAUGUAUUCAACAAGUCUAUAGCCUUGAUUGAUAGGCUUGGGUAAUCUUUGAAAUUUCAUCAUGAUAGGGAUAGAUCAUUACUAUUGUUGGUCUUCAACAAGGAAUUCCUAGUAAGUAUAAGUCAUCAUCUUGCAUUGACUACAUUCUUGCCCUACCAAUUGAAUAGUUCAUCAAAGUGUUCAGAUCAUGGCAAUGUGGAUGGUUUACUGCCCAUAAUGUCAUGAGAAGUCCACAAAACCUUACCAUUUCUAGGAAAGAGAAGUCGUAACAAGGUUUUUGUAGGUGAACCUAUAGAAG
RNAcentral lists this ribosomal RNA (1744 nucleotides) under Durio zibethinus. RNAcentral's name for it is "SSU rRNA". It matches the Rfam family "Eukaryotic small subunit ribosomal RNA". The record is from RNAcentral. Lineage: Eukaryota; Viridiplantae; Streptophyta; Magnoliopsida; Malvales; Malvaceae.